RNAcentral lists this ribosomal RNA (474 nucleotides) under uncultured bacterium. Its description in RNAcentral is "partial 16S ribosomal RNA". It matches the Rfam family "Bacterial small subunit ribosomal RNA", at positions 355 to 822 of the family's 1533-position model. The record is from RNAcentral.
UGGGGAAUUUUGGACAAUGGGCGAAAGCCUGAUCCAGCAAUGCCGCGUGUGUGAAGAAGGCCUUCGGGUUGUAAAGCACUUUUGUCCGGAAAGAAAUCCUUGGCUCUAAUACAGUCGGGGGAUGACGGUACCGGAAGAAUAAGCACCGGCUAACUACGUGCCAGCAGCCGCGGUAAUACGUAGGGUGCAAGCGUUAAUCGGAAUUACUGGGCGUAAAGCUGCGCAGGCGGUUUGCUAAGACCGAUGUGAAAUCCCCGGGCUCAACCUGGGAACUGCAUUGGUGACUGGCAGGCUAGAGUAUGGCAGAGGGGGGUAGAAUUCCACGUGUAGCAGUGAAAUGCGUAGAGAUGUGGAGGAAUACCGAUGGCGAAGGCAGCCCCCUGGGCCAAUACUGACGCUCAUGCACGAAAGCGUGGGGAGCAAACAGGAUUAGAUACCCUGGUAGUCCACGCCCUAAACGAUGUCAACUAGUUG